Molecule: ribosomal RNA, 301 nt
Filed under: uncultured bacterium
Lineage: Bacteria
Description: partial 16S ribosomal RNA
Rfam family: Bacterial small subunit ribosomal RNA
Source: RNAcentral
CAGUCGCCGCGGUAAUACGUAGGUGGCAAGCGUUGUCCGGAAUUAUUGGGCAUAAAGGGCUCGCAGGCGGUUUCUUAAGUCUGAUGUGAAAGCCCCCGGCUCAACCGGGGAGGGUCAUUGGAAACUGGGAAACUUGAGUGCAGAAGAGGAGAGUGGAAUUCCACGUGUAGCGGUGAAAUGCGUAGAGAUGUGGAGGAACACCAGUGGCGAAGGCGACUCUCUGGUCUGUAACUGACGCUGAGGAGCGAAAGCGUGGGGAGCGAACAGGAUUAGAUACCCCCGUAGUCCCUGUCUCUUAUAC